Molecule: ribosomal RNA, 421 nt
Filed under: uncultured bacterium
Lineage: Bacteria
Description: bacterial SSU rRNA
Rfam family: Bacterial small subunit ribosomal RNA
Source: RNAcentral
AUUGUUCGCAAUGGGCGCAAGCCUGACGACGCAACGCCGCGUGGAGGAUGAAGAUCUUCGGGUCGUAAACUCCUGUCGAGCGGGACGAACACUUUCCGGAUGAACAAUCCGGAGAGCUGACGGUACCGCUAAAGGAAGCCCCGGCUAACUCUGUGCCAGCAGCCGCGGUAAUACAGAGGGUGCGAGCGUUGUCCGGAAUCACUGGGCGUAAAGGGCGCGUAGGCGGUUCUGUAAGCGUGCGGUGAAAUCGCGGGGCUCAACCCCGCGCCGGCCGUGCGAACUGCGGGACUCGAGCACUGUAGAGGCAGAUGGAAUUCCGGGUGUAGCGGUGGAAUGCGUAGAGAUCCGGAAGAACACCGGUGGCGAAGGCGGUCUGCUGGGCAGUGGCUGACGCUGAGGCGCGACAGCGUGGGGAGCAAAC